Molecule: non-coding RNA, 30 nt
Filed under: Mus musculus (house mouse)
Lineage: Eukaryota; Metazoa; Chordata; Mammalia; Rodentia; Muridae
Source: RNAcentral
UGCUCUUUUGGAUUGGCAAACAGCAAUAUA